AACGAACGCUGGCGGCAUGCCUAACACAUGCAAGUCGAACGAGACCUUCGGGUCUAGUGGCGCACGGGUGCGUAACGCGUGGGAACCUGCCUUUAGGUUCGGAAUAACUCAGAGAAAUUUGAGCUAAUACCGGAUAAUGUCUUCGGACCAAAGAUUUAUCGCCUUUAGAUGGGCCCGCGUUGGAUUAGCUAGUUGGUGGGGUAAAGGCCUACCAAGGCGACGAUCCAUAGCUGGUCUGAGAGGAUGAUCAGCCACACUGGGACUGAGACACGGCCCAGACUCCUACGGGAGGCAGCAGUGGGGAAUAUUGGACAAUGGGCGAAAGCCUGAUCCAGCAAUGCCGCGUGAGUGAUGAAGGCCUUAGGGUUGUAAAGCUCUUUUACCCGAGAUGAUAAUGACAGUAUCGGGAGGAAUAAAGCUCCGGCUAACUCCGUGCCAGACAGCCGCGGUAAAGUAGACUACUG
This 464-nucleotide ribosomal RNA is filed under the name uncultured bacterium. Its description in RNAcentral is "bacterial SSU rRNA". It matches the Rfam family "Bacterial small subunit ribosomal RNA", at positions 29 to 536 of the family's 1533-position model. The record is from RNAcentral.